This 298-nucleotide long non-coding RNA is filed under the name Zostera marina. Its description in RNAcentral is "long non-coding RNA (ZMAR_LNC003787)". Lineage: Eukaryota; Viridiplantae; Streptophyta; Magnoliopsida; Alismatales; Zosteraceae. The record is from RNAcentral.
AACUCUCUAAUCUCACACAAGCUCUCUAGCAGCUCUCACGUCUCAAGUUCUUAUGCGAGUGCAUUUGUCUAAGGUUGAAGUGUUCCAAAGCUCUCUAAUUAUCUUCCAUUCUUCUUUUUAUCAUUUCUCUAUCAUUUGUGUGUGAGUUAGGAAAGAUCUAGUCUAAAGAGUUGUCGUCAAUUUUUGUAAGUAUGAGUGUUAUGAGAGGUUUGUCUGAAAAUCAAUACUUGUGAGGUUUUACAAGCGUUGAAUCAUAAAAUUCGUUUUGGUUUUAUAAAGUUUCUGUGAAAUCUUUUAG